AACAAUGUGUGUGUGUAAUGGCAUAGUAUAGUUGAAUAAUUAAAUAUACAUAAUAAAUGAUAUUAAGGGGAUCACUUAAGUAGAUUUAUAUCUUGUAUUUUUUGUAUUAUUCUUGUCUACGUUUUGUCGGACUCUAUUUUUCGUUAAUAAUAUUCUUCAAUCUUCUUUCCAAAAAAAUAAAAAACCAAAAAGCCUGAUAUUUUAACCAUUGCGAGCCCCUGACGUGCUCGUCAAAUGAGAGUGAGUGAUAGGGAAGGGAAGAGAAGGGAAAGUGUCUGAGCAACACUGACAGUGGGAGUUUAAUUCAAAAAAAAUGGCAGAUUCUCGCAACAGUAAAGCUCUAAUCGUUUGCUUCCUACUGGCAUUCACUUGCUCACCACAGAACCCCACAGUCCUCGCCAAAUCGCCUCGUCCAAUCUCUGACACAGAGAUCAGGCAGAAGAAGAACGAGUGUUAUGCCGACAUCGAGAGUGGGUUGUGGGGUUGGCAAUGCAAGUCAUCAGUGAUAGCGAAGGAGAAUUGUGCUUUGCGAUGCUUAUCUCCUCCUUGUUACGGGCUUGUCUAUAAGAGUGACCCGUUGGAGGAAGGAGAGAAAGAUUUUGUCAGGAGCCAAGAAUAUAAAUACUGUAUGCAUAGAUUUGAAGAUGAGGAAGAUGAUUGAUGGAAGACCUGAGGCUGGUGGACUUUACUUUGGACUGCUAUGUCCUACUACUCGCCUUACUGCUGCUACACCACUCCAAAUCUAUUGUUGUCUUGGUUAUCGAUGGGAGAGAGCCUCGAGGGUGUUAGGGGGUCUUUUGACUACUGAAGUAGCAUUCUACCAAUAAUGCGCCGGGUGCACAUCUCUGUGUUAUUUCCAGGUUACUACAAUAGUGGAAAUGAGAAUUGUUGUAUGUUGUGGUGGUUACCCAUUUGUUUUCCCUUCAACAUCUGUGAUUAUUGGAGUCACAUUGUAACCUGGUGAUGUAAUUAUUUUGUAAAUCAAAUACUGGUUCAUUGACCUAUAUUUCUGGCAUUUGAAGUGAGCAUUUCCGAGGCAGACAAUGACUUAGUGUAAGAACAUUGUACUAGUGAGACGAUGCAAUGCCUGCUUCAGAAGCAUAAAGAAUUGCUUUGUUUCUA
Malania oleifera is the source of this 1122-nucleotide RNA transcript. RefSeq lists it as uncharacterized. The record is from RefSeq and is a predicted model, not a curated record. The transcript is spliced from 6 exons. NCBI's taxonomy places the organism in Eukaryota, Viridiplantae, Streptophyta, Magnoliopsida, Santalales, Ximeniaceae.